CUACGUGCCAGCAGCCGCGGUAAUACGGAAGGUCCAGGCGUUAUCCGGAUUUAUUGGGUUUAAAGGGAGCGUAGGCUGGAGAUUAAGUGUGUUGUGAAAUGUAGACGCUCAACGUCUGAAUUGCAGCGCAUACUGGUUUCCUUGAGUACGCACAACGUUGGCGGAAUUCGUCGUGUAGCGGUGAAAUGCUUAGAUAUGACGAAGAACUCCGAUUGCGAAGGCAGCUGACGGGAGCGCAACUGACGCUUAAGCUCGAAGGUGCGGGUAUCAAACAGGAUUAGAUACCCUGGUAGUCCGCACAGUAAACGAUGGAUGCCCGCUGUUGGUACCUGGUAUCAGCGGCUAAGCGAAAGCAUUAAGCAUCCCACCUGGGGAGUACGCUGGCAACGGUGAAACUCAAAGGAAUUGACGGGGGCCCGCACAAGCGGAGGAACAUGUGGUUUAAUUCGAUGAUACGCGAGGAACCUUACCCGGGCU
This 477-nucleotide ribosomal RNA is filed under the name uncultured bacterium. Its description in RNAcentral is "bacterial SSU rRNA". It matches the Rfam family "Bacterial small subunit ribosomal RNA", at positions 501 to 981 of the family's 1533-position model. The record is from RNAcentral.